GGCGGACUCGGGCAGCCCCAGGGCUCGGGCUCGGCCGGCGCUUGCUUGUCGGGGAGCAGGUGCGGGCUGGAGGCCGCCUCCCGCCUCGGCCACGGGAGGGACCCAGGUGCCCGGGGUUCGUCCGGCCGCAGCCGCACGUGACACCUGGGCCACUUAGGGCCGUUGAACCAGGUGGUUACCGGGCGGCCUCCCUGCAGAAAAUAAAACCCAUCGUGCGCCUUGGCCGGGCGACCGGGCCUAGCCGGUCGGGGUGGAUAAGACUGCGUUUCUUCUGUCUGAGCCCGUGUUGAUGCUGCUGGUGAAGUCAAGGGCUAGGAAACGAGAACGUGGCCGGCGUUUAAGUGAGGGGAGAUGAGCUGCGGAGAUGCGGUGCUUAUUCCAAUAGGUUUGGCAGUGGAUUCAACAAAGUUUAGAUAGUAGCUGAAUGGAAUCAAGAAACCUUGCCUGUAACUUAAAGUGGAGCAGGAGCUAGAACAGGAGACUGCCUACCAUCUGACAGAUGCUACACAUGGCAACUGGAAUAUUCCUAAAAAAUUGUGCAGGAGAGAGACUUCCCUGAAUUUAUCACCACCUACCUGAAACUAAACCACACUCUUCUGGCCUCUUCUUACAAUCACAGCUUUCAUUUCGUAGCUCUAACAGCAACACACCAUGGGGUACAAACAUCACUGGAAAACAAGGUCCUGAUAAAACCCACAGAAAAGCUGUUCACUAAUAUUGGGACUACUUUUAGCCAUGCUAUUAUAGAUCACGCUUUAUUUUUGUGCAUAAUAAAUACAGAAAAAUGUUGAAAAUGCAUGACUCAACUAUCUAAUUAAAGCUGAGUAAACUAA
This is a long non-coding RNA of Canis lupus familiaris (dog), 833 nucleotides long. RefSeq lists it as uncharacterized. NCBI's taxonomy places the organism in Eukaryota, Metazoa, Chordata, Mammalia, Carnivora, Canidae. The transcript is spliced from 3 exons. The record is from RefSeq and is a predicted model, not a curated record.